GACGUAGGAUGCAAGCGUUGUCCGGAUUUAUUGGGCGUAAAGAGUUCGUAGGUGGUUCGUUAAGUCUGAUGUUAAAGACUGGGGCUCAACCCUGGAAGUGCAUUGGAUACUGGCGGACUUGAGUGUGGUAGAGGCAAUCGGAAUUCCAGGUGUAGCGGUGAAAUGCGUAGAUAUGCGGAGGAACACCGAUGGCGAAGGCAAUCCCCUGGGCCUGCACUGACGCUCAUGCACGAAAGCGUGGGGAGCAAACAGG
Molecule: ribosomal RNA, 253 nt
Filed under: uncultured bacterium
Lineage: Bacteria
Description: partial 16S ribosomal RNA
Rfam family: Bacterial small subunit ribosomal RNA
Source: RNAcentral